RNAcentral lists this long non-coding RNA (455 nucleotides) under Salvia miltiorrhiza (redroot sage). RNAcentral's name for it is "long non-coding RNA (SMIL_LNC004394)". The record is from RNAcentral. Lineage: Eukaryota; Viridiplantae; Streptophyta; Magnoliopsida; Lamiales; Lamiaceae.
UCUGAUGUUGAGAGAGAAGGCGGGACGGCAACUCAGCGAGGCGGUCGACACCGGUCUCGCCGGCGCCUGACCCCGCCAGUAACAGGUCGAGAGAGAGGGAGAGAUCGGUUGAGGAGAAAAGGGAGGCCUUUGAUUUUCAUUGAGAGAGAGAGACAGAACCGAGAGACUUGGGGGGGAGAAAAAUGGGUGUUGGGCUUUUAUUUUUGUUAUUUUUGUUGUUGGGCUAAAGAUUGGGCUUUUUCAUUUUAAUUUCUUUGGGCUUUUGUUUUAUUUUAUCUUGGGCUGAAGUUUAAAUUAAUUAGAAUAGGCUGGGGAUUUAUUCAUUGGGCCAUGCAUUAUUUAAUUGAGUCCAAUCGUUUAUUCAGUAAUUGGGCCGAUUUUAUUCACUGUUCGGGCCUCGUAUUUUAUUCCGUUGGGCCGCCUCAUAUAUGUUCUAUGGGCCGUCCAGAUUUAUU